AUACGGAGGGGGCUAGCGUUGUUCGGAUUUACUGGGCGUAAAGCGCGCGUAGGCGGUAUAUCAAGUUAGGCGUGAAAGCCCCGGGCUCAACCCGGGAACUGCGCUUAUUACUGAUAAACUAGAGUCCGGGAGAGGGUGGCGGAAUUCCCAGUGUAGAGGUGAAAUUCGUAGAUAUUGGGAAGAACACCAGUUGCGAAGGCGGCCACCUGGACCGGUACUGACGCUGAGGUGCGAAAGCGUGGGGAGCAAACAGGAUUAGAUACCCCGGUAGUCC
This 274-nucleotide ribosomal RNA is filed under the name uncultured bacterium. RNAcentral describes it as "partial 16S ribosomal RNA". It matches the Rfam family "Bacterial small subunit ribosomal RNA", at positions 523 to 796 of the family's 1533-position model. The record is from RNAcentral.